GAUGAACGCUGGCGGCGUGCCUAAUACAUGCAAGUCGAGCGAACGGACGAGAAGCUUGCUUCUCUGAUGUUAGCGGCGGACGGGUGAGUAACACGUGGAUAACCUACCUAUAAGACUGGGAUAACUUCGGGAAACCGGAGCUAAUACCGGAUAAUAUUAUGAACCGCAUGGUUCAAAAGUGAAAGACGGUCUUGCUGUCACUUAUAGAUGGAUCCGCGCUGCAUUAGCUAGUUGGUAAGGUAACGGCUUACCAAGGCAACGAUGCAUAGCCGACCUGAGAGGGUGAUAGGCCACACUGGAACUGAGACACGGUCCAGACUCCUACGGGAGGCAGCAGUAGGGAAUCUUCCGCAAUGGGCGAAAGCCUGACGGAGCAACGCCGCGUGAGUGAUGAAGGUCUUCGGAUCGUAAAACUCUGUUAUUAGGGAAGAACAUAUGUGUAAGUAACUGUGCACAUCUUGACGGUACCUAAUCAGAAAGCCACGGCUAACUACGUG
RNAcentral lists this ribosomal RNA (497 nucleotides) under uncultured bacterium. Its description in RNAcentral is "partial 16S ribosomal RNA". It matches the Rfam family "Bacterial small subunit ribosomal RNA", at positions 28 to 507 of the family's 1533-position model. The record is from RNAcentral.